RNAcentral lists this long non-coding RNA (2694 nucleotides) under Homo sapiens (human). RNAcentral's name for it is "HSALNT0016150". The record is from RNAcentral. Lineage: Eukaryota; Metazoa; Chordata; Mammalia; Primates; Hominidae.
CUUGUAUUUGUCAAAUUUCCACUAUUUUUCCCUAGCUUGAGGGGGAAAAAAAAGAAAUAAAGGGCUAUAUGGUAAAUUUGAAAAAUAAUGAUAAACCUAUUUAAAUAAAACACUAAAUUAAAGAAAUGUCCCUACAAUGAUGCCUUGGUAGUUUGGUGAUAUAAAAUAUUGUUAAUUUAAUAAAGCAGUAAUAAUGACAGAUUUUUAAAAAAUUACUUGGCGAAAUUUUAAAAAUGGGAAAUUUUACUGAUCAAUGAAAUUUUAAAGUUACUUUUCACUGCUCUAGAAUCUCUUUUAGGGGUAGAGCAUUUGGCCCUUAUAGGCUUAAUUCUGUAUGUGGAUGUGGUUGAUCUGCUUGAAUGCUUGUUCUGAGGGUCUCCAACAAGGAAGAAUUAACUUUCUAUCCCAGAAAGGGAGGUCUUCCCUGGGAGUUGAAGUAGUACUGUCCUUGGAGAGGUGUGGGCAGGAGAUAGAAAUAGAGAAUUUCUAUAAAAAGACAUUCCUCUUAACUGCACGAAGUUGGCUGCAUUAUUGGAGAAAUAAUUCUAUCCAUUAGUGAUAUUUUGGAAAGAAUAAUGUCAGCCUGGACAUUCCAGCUCCUAUUUCAUUUUUUCAUACUAGGUUUUAUUUGAUAAAAGCCCCUUCAGAGCCUAAAAUGACUGAACAGAGGAGUCAGAUAGCUCGAAUUUGUAAAAUGUAAGAAAGAACUAAAGGGUGAAACUGCCUGUGGUGAGCAAUGGGAUUUUUAAGAUACGGGAUGAAAUUGUCUUUGAAUACGUGGCUGCAUGCAAGGGAGGGGGAAGAAGCCAGAGAAUAGGAUAGUGGUCUUAGAUUUCAUUCUUUUUUUUCUAAUUCACUGCAAUUCUUUUCUAACAUUUGUCUGAUUUGGAGAGAAGGAACAUUAUGCCUCAUAUGUCAGUGCAUGGUGUUUGUCUUGCUGAAGGCUGAGAAUAUGGAGUGGACUGAGAAGAAACUGUUCUUAUUGACAUAAUUUUAUCGUAGAAAUGAUGUAAGAGCAGCAUUGAUCUCUUUAGAUGAACUAGGACCUGACUUUGCAUUGUCUUUGUUUUUCAGCAGCACAGAGAGUUCAGAAACUAGGAGGUAUGGAGAAGGCCCCAGCUACUAACAUCAUUAGGAAUAAAGUUUUUGCUUUCCUUCAUAGCUGGAAAUCUCGCUCCUCUGGCUCAGAAAAAUAAAGGGCUCUACCUCUCUUGAGAACCCUCAGCACCUAGGACAAGGAGAAACUUAGUGCUUCCAGUGGAGGGGGCUGGUGACAUGAAGUCUACAAAGUUCCCAAGAGAGGACAAAACCUGAGAGCAUCAGCAUGUCUCAUGCAAACUUCCUCUGCCCCUGGAAAAAACUCUGGGGGAUCCAGGCAGGAGAAGAGAUAAGCUGUGGCCCACAUGGCUCCCUGGAGAGAAAGACAGCUCUGCUCUGGUUUACUGGGCUAACUGGAAGACAGCAUUCCCAGAAAGGCUAUUAUGGAGCAGAAUUGUAGCAACGGUGUUCUUUCCCCCAGCUAGUGGAGCUGAGCUUAUAAUGCAGCUCAGCCUUCAGCACAUGCAGAGAUCCACCAACAGAAAAAGAAGGGCCCUUCUAAUGUUUGUACAGUCCAUAAAUCAGUUCUCUGGUGGAGACAGCCUCACCCUUGUUCUUUUGGUGGUCUUUUCUUUUUUACCCGGUACCUUAACCAGGAACUGACUUGUCUUUGCUCACUUACCUUAACUUGAAAUAUUAUCUUAUAUGUUCUUCCUGUGGUGGAAGAUUGAUUUUUUUCCAUCAUUCUCUUCUCUAAUACCUCUUCUUCAUUAUUUUCUAUUGAAUGCCAGCUCCUUUCCCUCUUCUCAAGAAGAGGGAAAAGACACAUGUCAUAACCAUUUUCCCUAUUGAAGGAAGCUGGCAGUUUUAUAACGUAACUCUCAUUACAUUCCUAAGACAGAGACUGGGAUGGGUGUAGUGCAGUGGUCUUCAAACUUAUUUUUUAAACAUUCACAAUUUUCUUUACAAUUUUUUGAAUUCAUCUCUUAGUUACAAAUUCAUUUAUUUGUAAGUUAUACAUAGUUGAUUAUACUAAUCUGUGCAUUUAAAAACACAAAAAUAAAACAUUUAAAUAGUUGAGUUAAAUUUGAAAUAUAUAAUAUUAAUUUUUUAUCAAUUUUAGCUAGUCUCUUACAUCACUAUAUAUCAUCAAGGCAAAGUUCAUCAUUAAUAAUAAUGGAAGUAAAUGUGUAAUUGUUUCAGCUCACAGUGUAGCCGAUAAAGAGAUUGUUCUAGCAGGAAAAGUAAUAGGACUUCCACUUUUUGGUUGUUUGCUUGUGCUUGCUUUAUGAAGAGUCUCUUUAAUUUGCAAUUUCUCACAGGAAUCUUUUUAAGCCCCUCAUUCCUUUUAUGAUGGUUAAUGUAAUAAAAACUAGAUAAGAUCAUCUGUAAACUUAUGUAGACAGAUACAUGUACAUUAUUUUUGUCUUAAUAUUCAAUAUGCUGAAAGUGCAUAAUGUGUGAGGUUCCCUACUGUUAAUGGCCCUGGGCCAUAGAUUCACACUCAGGAAAGCAUGUGUACUGUAUGUGAAAUGAAUCCAUCUCAAAUAGGCUCUGAGUGUAUCAUUGCCAAUAUGCACAUUACAUAUCUGUAAACCUUAUAUUUAUUAUGUUAUAGAUACAAAUAAAUAAAAUGUUAAGUAUUUUCUUCCCAGU